CAUUCUGGCACCCAACUUAAUUGUCAUACUGGGGCGCUUGCAUUACAGAAAAAAAAAAAAACACCAUCGCCUUAAUCAUGCGGCAUAACGGGCAUGUUUCUGGCGGGGCGCAAAAUACGCUCAUGUAUAUGUGGUAGGAGGCAUCGUAAACCCAACCCGUUAUUCAUAUUCGUUCUCACUGCUUGUGCUCGCUCUUUCAUGCAAAGCGUGCUGUCAUCGUGGGAGGCAAUUUUCCCACACACGCCUUACAAAAUAGGCCGCUCCGUUAAGCGGCGUUGCACAAAAGGGCCUGUACUUAUCGUGACGUAUAGAAGCUUGAUCCAUACUGAACACAGAAGUUCGCUUUUAGCUGAUGCUGUUCUUGAUGUAUCCCUAUUAAGAAAUUUACAUAAAUCUGCUAACGACCUCUUUUUCUCUUCCCGCUUUUGUUCUCUCAUAUGAUGCUGCUAUCUAGGGGCAGUGUUGUGAUUCAUGCUUAGCUAGUCAGCGCAAAACUAUGGGGAGGGUGGGGGGGAGACUGCAGUUCAACAACAGAAGAGCGGGAAAGGAAAUAUAGCUCCUUUAUGGGGGCGACAUGUUGUCCCUUGAUUUCCCUUGUUCGCUCUUUCGACAGUGUAGUUAUCUUGUGGUCCCAUUUUGACACCACUGCGCCGCUUCUGAAACCUGCGCGCGUAAAUUUUGAUCAUUCAGCGAGUCUUUUAACUAACUGACCAGAGUUCACGAGGCAGCUUCUUUAGAUGGUGGAGUAUAUGUUAUCGAAAUAACGACAUCCCUGUGGUUCAAGCGGGCACGCUAGAAACGCGUUAGCCGCGUGUCCCCCAUCUCCACCCCCGCAUCGUAAUGCUUUUUGCUUUGCGCUGCCAAGUGGUUUUACAUUUCUUGUCUACACUUGAGCACAAACAUAUCACGCACCCUCGCUCAUAAAUGAGCAUGUUAAUUUUUUAUGCGCACAAAUAUUAUUUAUAGUUUUUAUCUGUGAAUUGCUCUUGAUAAUAAAAAGAACUUAAGGAAGCUGAGUAUUUGUCACUGUUUUCCGUACUGAGUUAUGUAAAUUUGCUUGCGCUUGUAUAACGUGCACGUAAGCAGCGCCCCCUCCCUUCCCAUCAGCCUUCUGCUUGGAUUGAGAGGGAAGCAAGGUAAGAAAGUAAAAUGAGCAUUUCGAAAAAAAAAAAAAAAUCUUCGUGCCCGUUCGCUCUGUGAAAAAGGAUGCCCAGCCAAGCUGUGUAUGUGGGCCCAUUAAUGGCGAACUGCAGCGCCGCCGCGGUUCGGCACGGUAUUGCACUACCUUCGGGAUGGGUUCACGUAUGAAAAAGUGUUGGUCUACGCGCGGACGCGAUCGCCCAGAUCCUAGCCAUAGACAGCUUAGCUGUAAAAAAAGGUGUCUUGCGAAGAGUUUUGUGAUUUGCGUAGGAAGUUAGUUAUGCGCACCAUUUCUCGAACCCUUUAUAGUUAUACUGAAAAGCUUUAAUUUUGCUAUUCUGUUCAUAACAGGGACCAAUUACCAGGAUGAGAAGAUAAUUGAUUCCGUAAACACAGAGAUGCUUCGCAUCUGCUGCAAUAUAAUGUACAGUUGCAGCAGCAAGGCGCAAGUACUAAACGAUGAGGACUUACAACAAAUGAUACGCCCCCUGACCCUAAGAAAGACGCACUUCUAAAGGUUUCCUGGCACUGCCGCGAAUGUGAACGGGCUCAGGACUUGUGAAACUUCGAUAAGACACAGGAAUGAAGAAUUUCGUCGUAUGGUCGAGGACUGCCAUAUCAGUAAUGGUAGCACGCUCAUAAGCUAUCGUUCGCUAUCCUUCAUAAAGAACUGCCAAAGGAACUGUCCUGCCUGAACUGAUGUCAGUCGUGCCCACGAGAGAUGGGUUGGCGCUGCAUUUGCCAGAGCAUGUGCUAAUGCGUCGCUUCGUGCGUCUUUCAGUUGAUUGCAGGCGCUUGCGUUGUCCUUUUCGUUCCUUUCGUGCCGGUGUUUUCUACGCUUGACCUUUCACAGCGUGACUUCUCUAACUGGAAUCGAGCUUCUCAAGUCUAUUGCUGCGUGUGGGAUGCUCUUCACGUGGUAUACCUAAGCUGGCAAGCUAAGCUUCGUCUGACCGAGGUAUCGAUUUCAUAUGCCCGGGGAAAAGCAGUAGUAGAGGUUCCGAAUUCUGCUUCUCCGAUUCCACAAGCAGCACACGUGUCGACACUCAGGCGUACUUAGGAGGAGAUCCGACGUGGCAAUGUCGACUGAAGCUGAAAGAAGAGAAAGACCCCUGGGAGAGCAAUAUCGAAGGCUUCUCUGCGGGUAUUUAUCUAUUGAAAGGAAUGGUGGUGUCGGUUAUGAGACAUGAUGAAAUAGUGCGUAAAAAGGAACACGGAGCCAAGGACAAUAGCGCAGAGUUUGUCGUCCCCUAAUCUUUAUGCUCCUUCUUUAGCGUUGUUUUCACAUGAGGGAUACGCGCGCUUACAGACGGUGCGCGAACGGGAUGGCAUUGAGGACGCAUUAGUUGAUCAACUAGGGCCUAUUGACUGUCACCCUUUCUUAAAGCAUGUUUCAAAGUAUCUUUAGGUGAAUCUCUCACGCACUAAUUUAUGGCGAUCAUGCCUGCUGCACGGUGAAACGUAGCUUCUAGCAGUAAAGCAGUUGACAUAUAGAUCGGCUUGUCUCACCGUGGCUUGUAUGCAUGCACACGUUUCUGCAUGCAGGCGUGUGUACUCUUGCUUCCAGUUCGUGCAUGCACAAAGGGUGACGCUGCGUACCUGACGCUGCAUAAGGCGUCUUUUCGAUGGUUUCUUGAUGUUUUGAGCUUUGUACAAUCACGCUAGCAAACAGCCGUUGGAAUGCGCCAACCGUGCACUGCACCGCUAAAACGUAUAGAAGAAUGCGCACCAUCUAGAGCAGGUGAUGUCCCUCCAAGUCUGAAGAAAUGUGGUAAUAAUUGUUGUUGCCUGGUGAAGCAAAAGAAUUGUAUUAAAAGACGGCAGGGCAACCCAAGAUAUCAUUUCAAGUGCCAUUGCUCUUUAGGAAAGACAUUUCAAUCAUUUUAUUUGUUCGUGCACGUUUUAUAUCUGCCACAUUGCUUUUGCAUGCAUUUGACAAAUGUUGGUGCGGUGCAAAAAUUCCUUCACAAGUUAUUUUUAUGCUUCGUGUGCGCUCCAUCUUUAAGAGGACUGUCCGGUCAAGAUGUUUAUUUGAUGUAUAAUAAACGUCUUAAAAUAUGGCAGUGCUCUCCCUGUGCACA
This is a non-coding RNA of Dermacentor andersoni, 3221 nucleotides long. Lineage: Eukaryota; Metazoa; Arthropoda; Arachnida; Ixodida; Ixodidae. The record is from RefSeq and is a predicted model, not a curated record.